Drosophila nasuta is the source of this 969-nucleotide long non-coding RNA. RefSeq lists it as uncharacterized. NCBI's taxonomy places the organism in Eukaryota, Metazoa, Arthropoda, Insecta, Diptera, Drosophilidae. The record is from RefSeq and is a predicted model, not a curated record. The transcript has 2 exons.
UCCAGUUGAUAUAAAACAAUUACCCAUUUUCACCACUUUUUUUCAUAUCAAAAAUAAAAUAAAAGUGCUUAAUGAUGGUUCUAAUUUCACAAUAUUUAUGAACCAGUCAAAACCAAAACUAUUGAUAUCGAUGAGCAAUAAGAAUGCUACAAGUAUUGUGACCAUGCCUGGUAAAGAAAAGUAUUUUUGCUCAUACACGAAGUGGUCACACUGAAGCACAAUAGCCGAGUUGUUUUUAUAUUCAGCAGCAAAGCGCAGAAUGGAAAGAUCGGAAGAGUUUAUGAAAUAUUUGCGAUUCAAAACAAAAGAAACACAUCACACCACGACCGCUGGCGACAGUAGCAGGAGUUUAUUAGAUUAUGCUUUUUGUUUUUUUUUCGCUCAGCAACAGCACAGUAAUGACAACUGCAACAAGCUCAGCAGCAUAACAUCAGUAAGCAACGGCAAUGACAAUGUGGUAAAAUAUCUGCAGCAGGCAGCAAAAUGUUUGUCAAACAGCCAAAAUGUCUGCCGCCUGACUGACAGACGAUAGACAAUCGGACAACAGACAACGGACAUUGGACACUGGUGGACAUUGGACAUUUGGUUCCGAUGUGGGAUUUUGGGGAAAUGCUAGGGAAUGACGGUCGCUUCAUUGGCCGAGCGUUAAAAGGAUUUGCAAUUCAUGUACAUAAACAAUGACACCCAACCGCAGUGAAAGUACUUCUAUAUCUUAAGACACUCUACAACCAAAAAAAAAACAACUAUGGAGUAUGCUAUUAAAUUGUUUGUAAAAACUUUUCAGGAUCGAAAAUAAGUAAUAUCAGCAAAUGUCGAAUAUAUAAAUUAUUUCAGUUUUUUCCUAUAAUAUGUUAUUUAUUUAUUAUUUUAUUUCAUUAUUUUAAAAUUUGUAUAUAUUAAAUUAGUAACCAAUUAUAUAAUAAAAUUAUUUAUAUAAAAACGUAAAUAAAUAAAAAUACAAAAUGAAAA